RNAcentral lists this unclassified non-coding RNA (243 nucleotides) under Capnodiales sp. RNAcentral describes it as "partial contains 5.8S ribosomal RNA, internal transcribed spacer 2, and large subunit ribosomal RNA". The record is from RNAcentral. Lineage: Eukaryota; Fungi; Ascomycota; Dothideomycetes; Capnodiales.
CGCACAUUGCGCCCCCUGGCAUUCCGAGGGGCAUGCCCGUUCGAGCGUCAUUAAAUCCCAUCAAGCCCGGCUUGGUAUUGGGCGACGGGACUCCCGCGCCUGAAUUUCGCCGGCUGACCGACCUCCCCCCCAGCGUUGUGACAUAACUGUCGCUGACGGGAGUGGCGGCCACGCCGUUACAAUUUUGAUUAACUUCAAUUCCAGAUUGACCUCGGAUCGGGUAGGAAUACCCGCUGAACUUAA